UACGAAGGGGGCUAGCGUGGCUCGGAAUCACUGGGCGUAAAGCGCACGUAGGCGGAUUGUUAAGUCAGGGGUGAAAUCCUGGAGCUCAACUCCAGAACUGCCUUUGAUACUGGCGAUCUUGAGUCCGGGAGAGGUGAGUGGAACUGCGAGUGUAGAGGUGAAAUUCGUAGAUAUUCGCAAGAACACCAGUGGCGAAGGCGGCUCACUGGCCCGGUACUGACGCUGAGGUGCGAAAGCGUGGGGAGCAAACAGG
Molecule: ribosomal RNA, 253 nt
Filed under: uncultured bacterium
Lineage: Bacteria
Description: partial 16S ribosomal RNA
Rfam family: Bacterial small subunit ribosomal RNA
Source: RNAcentral